UGAAGUAUAUAUAUGAGCACUCGAACCAAAGUCUAAUAUCCAACUAGAAGUAGAAGAAAUCGUAAGGUUAGAUUCAAUUACGAGCAUACCUUUUGAAGGUUUGUCAUCUUUUUUAUCUUCAGGCUCUCUAGGUAGAGUGGACAGUUCCUCCUCCAAUGACCUUCAGCAUCACAAUAGAAAUACUUUUUCUUUGCUUCAACCUUCUUCGAAACAUCCUUCUUU
Molecule: long non-coding RNA, 222 nt
Filed under: Elaeis guineensis (African oil palm)
Lineage: Eukaryota; Viridiplantae; Streptophyta; Magnoliopsida; Arecales; Arecaceae
Description: long non-coding RNA (EGUI_LNC002204)
Source: RNAcentral